UGGGGAAUUUUGGACAAUGGGCGAAAGCCUGAUCCAGCAAUGCCGCGUGUGUGAAGAAGGCCUUCGGGUUGUAAAGCACUUUUGUCCGGAAAGAAAUCCUUGGCUCUAAUACAGUCGGGGGAUGACGGUACCGGAAGAAUAAGCACCGGCUAACUACGUGCCAGCAGCCGCGGUAAUACGUAGGGUGCAAGCGUUAAUCGGAAUUACUGGGCGUAAAGCGUGCGCAGGCGGUUUGCUAAGACCGAUGUGAAAUCCCCGGGCUCAACCUGGGAACUGCAUUGGUGACUGGCAGGCUAGAGUAUGGCAGAGGGGGGUAGAAUUCCACGUGUAGCAGUGAAAAUGCGUAGAGAUGUGGAGGAAAUACCGAUGGCGAAGGCAGCCCCCUGGGCCAAAUACUGACGCUCAUGCACGAAAAGCGUGGGGAGCAAAACAGGAUUAGAUACCCUGGUAGUCCACGCCCUAAAACGAUGUCAACUAGUUGUUGGGGAUUCAUUUCCUUAGUAACGUAGCUAACGCGUGAAGUUGACCGCCUGGGGGAGUACGGUCGCAAAGAUUAAAAACUCAAAAUGAAUUGACGGGGUCAUAGCUGUUUCCU
This 595-nucleotide ribosomal RNA is filed under the name uncultured bacterium. RNAcentral's name for it is "partial 16S ribosomal RNA". It matches the Rfam family "Bacterial small subunit ribosomal RNA", at positions 355 to 1375 of the family's 1533-position model. The record is from RNAcentral.